Molecule: long non-coding RNA, 419 nt
Filed under: Malus domestica (apple)
Lineage: Eukaryota; Viridiplantae; Streptophyta; Magnoliopsida; Rosales; Rosaceae
Description: long non-coding RNA (MDOM_LNC011605)
Source: RNAcentral
UUUUGUGUUUUUACAAAGUGACCCCAAAAGUUUUGCAAUAUAGCCCAAAAGUUGAGGUUAAUUGCUUUAUAGCCCAAAAGGUUAUGGUUAUUGCAUGAUGGCCCAAAUUAGGUUGAGAACAAAAUUGUUUUGUCUCUUUAAAUGAGAAUUGGAUUUUCAUUUCAUUAGCUCCAUUUAAAUCAAUUUUAUGGAUACAAAAACCAAAUGAAAAUGUUGCAUUCAAUUUAAUUAGUUAAAGCGUUAAUUAAUUAAAGGAUGAUUAUGAACCUAAGCCUAAUAUAAUUGAGCUAUGUGAAAGGCCGUUUCAAAUUUGUUUGAACCUUGGGAAUGUGUAGAUUAGAUUUUGGUUGUAAUUUGAUUUGAUCAAAUGUUGUAAAAGGGCAUAAGGCCUUCUUUACUUUAAGGUAAUUUGUUUUAUG